GAUGAACGCUGGCGGCGUGCUUAACACAUGCAAGUCGAACGGAAAGGCCCAAGCUUGCUUGGGUACUCGAGUGGCGAACGGGUGAGUAACACGUGGGUGAUCUGCCCUGCACUUCGGGAUAAGCCUGGGCAACUGGGUCUAAUACCGGAUAGGACCACUUCUUGGAUGUUGUGGUGGAGAGUUUUUUCGGUGUGGGAUGAGCUCGCGGCCUAUCGGCUUGUUGGUGGGGUAAUGGCCUACCAAGGCGUCGACGGGUAGCCGGCCUGAGGGGGUGUAAGGCCACAUUGGGACUGAGAGACGGCCCAGACUCCUACGGGAGGCAGAAGUGGGGAAUAUUGCACAAGGGGCGCAAGCCUGAUGCAGCGACGCUGCGUGGGGGAUGACGGCCUUCGGGUUGUAAACGCGUUUCGCUAGGGACGAAGCGUUUUGUGACGGUACCUGGAGAAGAAGCACCGGCUAACUACGUG
Molecule: ribosomal RNA, 467 nt
Filed under: uncultured bacterium
Lineage: Bacteria
Description: partial 16S ribosomal RNA
Rfam family: Bacterial small subunit ribosomal RNA
Source: RNAcentral